Molecule: ribosomal RNA, 484 nt
Filed under: uncultured bacterium
Lineage: Bacteria
Description: partial 16S ribosomal RNA
Rfam family: Bacterial small subunit ribosomal RNA
Source: RNAcentral
AUUGAACGCUGGCGGCAUGCUUUACACAUGCAAGUCGAACGGCAGCGCGGGCUUCGGCCUGGCGGCGAGUGGCGAACGGGUGAGUAAUGCAUCGGAACGUGCCCAGUAGUGGGGGAUAGCCCGGCGAAAGCCGGAUUAAUACCGCAUACGACCUGAUGGUGAAAGCGGGGGACCGAAAGGCCUCGCGCUAUUGUAGCGGGCUAUGUCGGAUUAGCUAGUUGGUGGGGUAAAGGCUUACCAAGGCGACGAUCCGUAGCUGGUCUGAGGGGACGACCAGCCACACUGGGACUGAGACACGGCCCAGACUCCGACGGGAGGCAGCAGUGGGGAAUUUUGGACAAUGGGGGCAACCCUGAUCCAGCCAUGCCGCGUGCGGGAAGAAGGCCUUCGGGUUGUAAACCGCUUUUGUUCGGGAAGAAAUCCUCUGGGCUAAUACCCCGGGGGGAUGACGGUACCGGAAGAAUAAGCACCGGCUAACUACGUG